RNAcentral lists this long non-coding RNA (4000 nucleotides) under Homo sapiens (human). Its description in RNAcentral is "HSALNT0018841". Lineage: Eukaryota; Metazoa; Chordata; Mammalia; Primates; Hominidae. The record is from RNAcentral.
UGAGGGAGCUAUUUGACUUUGUUUUGCACUUUUGCUUUAGCCACAUGAGGACACAGCAACAAAGCACCAUUUUCGGCGCUGAGAGCAACCCUCACCAGACAAUGAAUCUGCUGGCACCUUGAUCUUGGAGUUCCCAGCCUCCAGAACUGUGAGGAAUAAAUUUCUGCUGCUUAUGAAUUACCCAGCCUAAGGUCUUACAACUGAAUUACACCUCAGACUUUCCUGGGUUUCCAGUUUGCAGAUGACAUAUCAUGGGACUUUUCGACCUCCAUAGUUGCAUGAGCCAAUUCUCAUAAUAAAUUUUCUCUUCUGCCGGGCGCGAUGGCCUGUAAUCCCAGCACUUUGGGAAGCUGAGGCGGGCGGAUCACGAGGUCAAAAGAUCGAGACACGAGACAAUCCUGGCCUAUAUGGUGAAACCCCGUCUCUACUAAAAAUAACAAAAAUUAGCUGGGCGAGGUGGUACGUGCCUAUAGUCCCAGCUACUUGGCAGGCAGAAGCAGUAGAAUCGCUUGAACCCCGGAGGCGGAGGUUGCAGUGAGUUGAGAUCGCACCACUGCACUCCAGCCUGGCGACAGAACUUUAUUUAAAUAAAUAAAUAAAUAUUAAAAAAUUAAAAAAUUAUCUUCUAUUUAUAUAUAUUGUAGAUAGUUACAUACAUAGUAAUGGCUCUGUUUCUCUGAAAAACGCUAAUUGGGGGAGGGCUCCUCCAAUCGGAUGUACCCACCCAAGACUAUAAGACAGUGUUUCCAGAACCAGGAUUCAUGCCAAAUAAAUUCUGAAAACAAGCAGCAGAAUUGGUUGCAUUUAUUUUGGAUUUCCAGAGAUAGCAAGGACAGCAGAUGUGGUGGUACCAUUGAGAGUCCAUGUUCUUUGCAUUGGCAGCACAAGCCACAUCUGGAAAUCAGCUGUGCCGUCUUCUUCUCCAUGCUGUAGAGGGUCUUUGGAACAUUGCUCUUGGGCAUGUAGCCUCCUGGUUUAGUUCUGAGCAUUCCAGGAGGUUCUGUGAGCCUCCCAAAUACUUUCAUGAAUCUAUUUUCCACUAAUAUCAGUCAGAAUAUGUUUUUAUUUCUUCCAGAUGAGAAUCUGGACUGACAUACAAUAAAACGUAAAUGAGCCUGGGUGUGGUGGCUCACACCUGUAAUCCCAGCACUUUGGGAGGCAGAGGCAGGAGGAUCAUUUGAGAUCAGGAAUUCAAGACCAGCCUGACCAACACGGUGAAACCCCAUCUCUACUAAAAAUACAAAAAUUAGUAACGUGUGAUGGCGCAUGGCUGUAAUCUCAGCUACUCGGGAGGCUGAGUCAGGAGAAUCCCUUGAACCUGGGAGGCAGAAGUUGCAGUGAGCCGAGAUCACACCACUGUACUCCCGCCUAGGCGACAGAGUGAGACUCUGUCUCACAAAAAAAAAAAAAAAAAAAAAAAAAAAAAAAAGUAAAUAAAGGCUGAUGAAUACAUGUUUUAAAAAUACAAACCCAUCUUACAUCUAAGUAUCAAUGUUAAUAUAAAAAUCAGUUGGCCGGGCGCGGUGGUUCAAGCCUGUAAUCCCAGCACUUUGGGAGGCCAAGGUGGGUGGAUCAUGAGGUCAGGAGAUCGAGCCCAUCCUGGCUAACACGGUGAAACCCCGUCUCUACUAAAAAUACAAAAAAUUAGCCAGGCAUGGUGGCGGGCGCCUGUAGUCCCAGCUGCUCGGGAAGCUGAGGCAGGAGAAUGGCGUGAACCAGGGAGGUAGAGCUUGCAGUGAACGGAGAUCGCACCACUGCACUCCAGCCUGGGCGUCAGAGCGAGACUCCUUCUGGAAAAAAAAAAAAAAAAUCAGUUAAUAGAAUACAGCAACUUCUUAGGAGAAUACUUCACCAUGACUCAGAGGGGUUUUCCCAAAGAAAGAUUUUCAGUAUUAGGACAUCUGCUAUAAUUAAUAUAAUUAAAAGGUCAAAAUAAAUAAGCCAUUUAAUCAUUACUAUAGAUGCCAAAAAAAGUAUUAUAAAGUUUAAUAUUUAUUAGUGAUUCAAAAGAAACCUUUGUAAAACUGGAAUGAGAGAUUAUUUCCAACAUAUAAUAUGUUUCUUCAAACUCAAAUUGCAUCAUGCCUAAUGGGGAAACUAUAUAUUCUGACUAACAUCAGGAACAAGAUAAGCAUCCCACAACUUUAAUAUUAGUUACUACAAUUUUUUAAGAAUUAAACAAAGUAAGUAGAAAAAAAGAAGAAAUAAGUCACAAAAAUUAAAGAACAAGAGAAAAAAUGUCAUUUAUUUUAGAUGGUAUGAUUGUAUACCUGUAGGGGCUCAAAGGCAUCAACUGAUAUUCAAUUGUAAAGUUAAAAAAUAAUUAAGCUGGCUAGAUACAAAUUAAUAUAAAAAACAUCAUGGCUCUCCUACAAUGACUUUCUUUACAACUAGUUAGGAAAAUGUAGUAAAGAUUUUAUUUACAAUAGCAACAGUAAAAAAAAAAAUUAGGAAUAAACGUAAAGGUGUAAGAAUUAUGUGAUGAAUAGCCAAAGAGAGAUAUUUUUAAGAGUUGAAUAAAUAACAAUGCAUACUUUUUUUAAAUUUUCACUGCUAUAGUUGUGUUUAUUUCCCUUAAUUUAUUUUAUAAAUACAAUGCAAUCCCAAUAAAAAUACACUUUUUUUUUGAGACUGGGUCUUGCUCCCCUGCCCAGGCUGGAUUGCAGUGGUGAGAUACUGCAGCUUUGAGCUGCCUGGGCUCAGGUGAUCCUCCUGCCUCAGCCUCCUGAGUAGCUGGUACCACAGCUUGCGCUACCACACCCAGCUAAAUUUUAUUUUUUGUAGAGACAGGGUCUCACCAUAUUGCCCAGGCUGGUCUUAAACUGCUAGACUUAAGCAAUCCACCUGCCUCAGCCUCCCUAAGUGCUGGAAUUACAGGCGUGAGCCACCGCACCUGUCCCAAAUAUGUUUUAUGAUGGAACAAGACACGGAUUACAAAAUUCAUGUAGAAAAUUAAAGAAUACCAAGUCAAUAAAGAAGUAAUGAAGAAAUAGCCCUAUCAGAUAUUUAAAUCUGCUAUAAAGUAUAGUAAUUAAAGCAAUGUGACAUAAGUAAUAGAAAGAUCAGUAGAAUAGAGGAGUCCAGAGAGAGACCUGAAGAGAGAGAGAGGACUUCAUAUAUGAUAAGGCAGCAUUUUACAAUAGUGAAAAAUUAUAAAGUAUUCAAGAGAUAAUACUGGAUAACUGUUUGCCUAUUUGGAAAAGAACAAAACAAGCUGUAUUCCUACCUAAUUCCUUAGACCAUGAUAUAUUCCAACUGUAUGAAGUGUUUAAUGUAAAUAAAUGAAAAAGUUAAAGUUCUAGAUGAAAGCCUGAGAGGAUUUUGGGAGGAGGCCUUUCUUGAUAUUCAAAACAUAGAAGCCAUUAAAGAGUUUGAUAAAUGCAUUAAAAUAAAACAUUCCUAAACAAUGGCAAUUAUGUAUAUAUAAAUACAUAUACAUAAUAAAUGUAUAAGUAUAUAAAUAGCUACACACACACAUACAUAUAUGUGUGCAUCUAUUUUGUGUGUGUAGAGAGAGAGAGAGAGAAAGAAGAGAGAGUAGUAAUCAUGUCAGAAAGGAAACACAUUGGAAAGGAGUCUGGCAAGAGCUUACUCUGAGAAAGCUUGAGCCACUCAGGUGGCUAAAUCCUGGGCAAGAUAGAAAGGAAGAUGGUGAAGCUCAUUCUCUCUCAUUCCCUUCUGCAGAGGAGCAUGUUCCACCAGGGAGCUUGAAUCAUCACACUGUGAGAAGCAGGUACUGUAAGAGCUCUAGUAGAGCUGAGACCCAUUCAAAGCCUCAAGCUCCAGUCCUGAAUGUAUAACCGCCAAGUCCUUGCUGAGUACAAAUAGGAAGUAUCUUAGCUUAGGAUUAUCAGGAAACAGCUUCUGAGAUGGAGACUUUCACAAUGGAUGCUUAUCAAAGAAGGAAUGGUCUGGGAAACAACAUCCGUAGUGGUGAAGGAAGUAGUAUUGCAUAGAAAGAGGUCAUGAACUGCAGGAAACUCGUAGCAGCCAACCCUCU